UGGGGAAUAUUGCACAAUGGGGGAAACCCUGAUGCAGCGACGCCGCGUGAGUGAAGAAGUAUUUCGGUAUGUAAAGCUCUAUCAGCAGGGAAGAAAAUGACGGUACCUGACUAAGAAGCACCGGCUAAAUACGUGCCAGCAGCCGCGGUAAUACGUAUGGUGCAAGCGUUAUCCGGAUUUACUGGGUGUAAAGGGAGCGUAGGUGGCAAGGCAAGCCAGAAGUGAAAACCCGGGGCUCAACCUGGGAACUGCAUUCUAAACUGUCCGACUAGAGUAUUGCAGGGGGAGACGGAAUUCCAGGUGUAGCGGUGGAAUGCGUAGAUAUUGGGAGGAACACCAGUGGCGAAGGCGGCUUACUGGACGGUAACUGACGUUGAGGCUCGAAAGCGUGGGGAGCAAACAGG
RNAcentral lists this ribosomal RNA (404 nucleotides) under Lachnospiraceae bacterium. Its description in RNAcentral is "bacterial SSU rRNA". It matches the Rfam family "Bacterial small subunit ribosomal RNA", at positions 355 to 776 of the family's 1533-position model. The record is from RNAcentral. Lineage: Bacteria; Bacillati; Bacillota; Clostridia; Lachnospirales; Lachnospiraceae.